Molecule: long non-coding RNA, 126 nt
Organism: Etheostoma cragini (Arkansas darter)
Lineage: Eukaryota; Metazoa; Chordata; Actinopteri; Perciformes; Percidae
Exons: 3
Source: RefSeq, a predicted model, not a curated record
CUUGGUUGCCAGUAGUCAGUGAUGAGACACUAAUAUCUGCUGGUGGCGAGCCCAAUAGCGUGCAAUGCUGGGAAGCGGGGCGAUCCCUGCCGUUAAAACGCCUAAACGGACACUGUGUGUUUCUUU